Molecule: ribosomal RNA, 925 nt
Filed under: uncultured Bacteroidota bacterium
Lineage: Bacteria; Pseudomonadati; Bacteroidota
Description: bacterial SSU rRNA
Rfam family: Bacterial small subunit ribosomal RNA
Source: RNAcentral
UUGGAUCCAGACUUUGAUCCUGGCUCAGGAUGAACGCUGGCUACAGGCUUAACACAUGCAAGUCGAGGGGCAGCAUAAACUUAGCUUGCUAAGUUUGAUGGCGACCGGCGCACGGGUGAGUAACGCGUAUCCAACCUUCCGUACACUCAGGGAUAGCCUUUCGAAAGAAAGAUUAAUACCUGAUGGUAUGAUGAGAUUGCAUGAUAGCAUCAUUAAAGAUUUAUCGGUGUACGAUGGGGAUGCGUUCCAUUAGGUAGUAGGCGGGGUAACGGCCCACCUAGCCAACGAUGGAUAGGGGUUCUGAGAGGGAGGUCCCCCACAUUGGAACUGAGACACGGUCCAAACUCCUACGGGAGGCAGCAGUGAGGAAUAUUGGUCAAUGGACGAGAGUCUGAACCAGCCAAGUAGCGUGAAGGAUGAAGGUCCUACGGAUUGUAAACUUCUUUUAUAAGGGAAUAAACCCUCCCACGUGUGGGAGCUUGUAUGUACCUUAUGAAUAAGCAUCGGCUAACUCCGUGCCAGCAGCCGCGGUAAUACGGAGGAUGCGAGCGUUAUCCGGAUUUAUUGGGUUUAAAGGGAGCGCAGACGGGUCGUUAAGUCAGCUGUGAAAGUUUGGGGCUCAACCUUAAAAUUGCAGUUGAUACUGGCGUCCUUGAGUGCGGUUGAGGUGUGCGGAAUUCGUGGUGUGGCGGUGAAAUGCUUAGAUAUCACGAAGAACUCCGAUUGCGAAGGCAGCACACUAAUCCGUAACUGACGUUCAUGCUCGAAAGUGUGGGUAUCAAACAGGAUUAGAUACCCUGGUAGUCCACACGGUAAACGAUGGAUACUCGCUGUUGGCGAUAUACUGUCAGCGGCUUAGCGAAAGCGUUAAGUAUCCCACCUGGGGAGUACGCCGGCAACGGUGCAACUCAAAGGAAUUGACGGA